UAGCACGCUUCGGCCCCCACAGCGACACCUAGCUCUCUUUCCCCUCGACCCCCACAGCGCAGCACAUCACCACUCCCUCCUCCCUCAUCAGCCGCCGCCGGAUCUUCUCGCUGGGGUGGAAGAGUAGGGGAUCCGGCCGGAUCCGAGGCGUGCGGGCCUGGUGGCGGGCAUCUUUGGCAGCGGCAGCGGCGGGCCUGGUGGCGGGCAUCUUUGGCAGCGGUGGUGGCGGGCCUGGUGGCGGUCAUCUUUGGCAGCGGCAUCGACGGGCAUCUCUGGCAAAAGGCGAUGGCGGGGAUGCUCGAUUCACCAUGGACCGGUCCCUGCAGGAGAGAGAAAGAAAGAGAGGAGGGAGAAAGCGAGAGGAAAGAGGAGAGGGAGGUGCGACGGCGGGCGGGAGAGGGUCUCUGGCCGGGGCGAGACAUUCACGUCUCUCCUCCUCUCCUGCUCUCGACCACCACCGUGGCCCUCCUUCUCCCCUUCAAUUCCCUGUCUCCUCUUCUCUGGAGUUACCUGAGUGGUCAACACCGAGAAAGAUGGGGAAGACAGAGCCAACGAGGAAGACAGCUUGACUCUGCCGCCAAUGCUAACCGGCCUAUUCCGUCGGGCGCCGUCAUGGGAGGAGACGAACCAUCGAGGAGCAGCACGGGAGGAGAUAAAGAUAAGCCGCCGGACUCCCUGUUCACUUCUGGUUGCAUCUUGCCCGUGAGCUCCUUCUUCUUACAGCCCGCUUGGCCCUUUUCUUGCCAUGUUUUGGGUGAUGCAGCGUAUCAAGCAGGGCGAUGGCGAGGAUCAGAUGCGGUAGCAGCUGAAGGAGUCAUGGAGAGGGGGCGAGAGUGAGCAGCGACUGUCGGCCAGGAAGGAAGAGGCUGGGGCGAGGACCGGAGGAGGAGGUGCUCAUGGUGGAGCAUAGGAGGACGGAGGCGGAGUGCUGCUGGAACGGCUGUGGGACUAGGCGAAAGGUGCAGAGGGCCACAAUGAGGCAGACGACAGUGGAUGGAAACAAUAGGUGUUGGCGGAUGCUCCGAGACCAUGAAGAGCCUAUUCAAUGGUAUGAGAAGGAUGACAUGGAGACGGAGGAUUCCGACAUGGUACCUCCCGCAAUCGCGCAGUUGGAGAGCAUGCAUGAGUUUGGUAUACUAUGUAUUCUAUUAAUAUUGCUCUGAAAGGUUAGGAUGCAUUGGGUUGCGGCCUGAACUAUGUAUCUAUGGAUAUUAUUACACUUUCAGCAUGCUAUUUCUUAUUUUUAAGACUUCAAUUUUUGUGAAUUGUGACUGAACUAUGAUACUUUAGAUUGCAUGCUCAACUAUGUGUAGGGUCAUUACCGCUUUCUCCCCGGAUUGUAUUGUCCUUGCCAUGUUAUCCCCUAAAUGCUAACUCUUGCCAUGUUAUUCCCUAAAUCAUUACUCAUUUCUUCCUUGCUCUGCUUAUGCAUCAUGUAUUUAGUACCAAAAAAUGAGGUAUGCUUCCUUACAUUAAACAGUCUUUCCUUAUCAGUAUAUAUGGAAGUAUAUGGGACGUCUUCCAUAGAAUACUUGUUUCUGUACUAUAUACUCGAUGAAAAUAAUAUCCUUGCAUGCGAACAUGGCAUGGCUGAUUAGUAGUUGCACUACAUUCCUGAAGCUUCUUUGAACUAUUGGGAGACAUGAGAAAUUUGUUGCACAGAAGUAAGUGGUUCUUGUUUCCAUUUCCAACAAAACCAAGGCUAAAAGUUGCUACUUUUGUAGUACUCCUGUAUACAACAAUUAGUGUUCAGCUAGACUGUCAAUCUUACAGUUUAUUACUAACCGCUGCCUCUGUACGCUUAUGUCCGGCGCUGGUGGAAAAGCACCUGGGGCUGGGAGGAAAGCAAAGUUGUAGCUAUCAUGCAUUAUGCAUGUAGGCAAUUAGAAUUUACGAAAACAAAUAGAAAUUGUGAUUCUAAUCGGAUUCAUUGUAUUACAUGAUCUUUUGCAUAUCAGACUCUCUUUGCUGACAUCUGGUGAAGUUGUGGUCCAGGAGAAGCAUGAAGAUUUUAUAGCUCUAGCUUUUCCCUUCCGAUAGUUAUGCUCCACCUUGAGCACGCCGGCGGCGAAGCACACUGCGAGGCCCGGAGCAACUCAGUCAAAGCACCUCCGUACAGGAGGAACCCCGCGGCCAGCGCAGCCAACAACGGUGAUGGUACAAGAGCUCGGCCUUGAUGGGCCACGCGCUGAGGGUCACGUCCGCGCUGGAGGGCAGCAACGAGCACAUGGCGCGGUACGAGGAGAUGCGCUGGGAGAAGGUUCAUGGCUCCGCCUAGCACCAUGUGUGCGGCGGCGUGGACAGACGACCACGGGCAGAUUUUGGGGAGCGGCACGAGCAUCAAGCAAUGGCUGAUGCCAAGGCAUGUCAAGAUCAAGGAUAUUUAAACUUGUUUCUUCUAUUGAUGAAAGAUUUCAAGAUGAAUUUCUGGGCAAAGAUACUUGAUGUUAAUUGUCCCAAAGAUGGAACGAUUUGCUCCACGGAAAUUAUCUCCUUAGUUGCAUUCCAUUUACAGACCCAACAUCCUCCAGUAUUACCUGAUUUGGUGCUGAUUUACAUCUUCCUGUUCAUGCUCAAUUGCUCAUGGCCUUGCUAUGGUUGCACCAUGGUCCGUGGGGAACAGGAACAAAUACCUUUGCUACAACCGAGGUCUUGACAGACAAAUUAGGGAGAGAUAGGUUCGGGGUUGUUAUGCUCUAUCCCUCAAGGUACCAUCUGCAUUUUGUGAAGAUUGCCAUCAUCUAGAUUUUAUUGCGACAUGAUGCUUUUUUUACAAGGAAUUUGGUGUUUCAGAAGCAUCACUGGAAGUUGGGAGAAGUAGAAGUUGAGGGGAAGCUACUGCAUGUUGGAAAAUCAGUUGGUGUUGUCUAUGUUGGUUUCAGGAAGAAAAGUACUAUCAAAUUGAUGGCUCGGGCACGUCAUACAAAGUACCUUGCUGUAUCUAGCAGAUUGCGAGGAUUCCCUUCUGUUGUAAGAUAAAAACCUGGUUAUAUGUUGCAUCUCAAAAUCAAGAUGUUGAUUCGAGAAGAGCCCUAACAGAUAAAUGGAAGCAUCUAUUGCCCCCUCGAACACUUGACAUAGGCACAUUCAAAAUAGAUUAUCUCUUAUGACUCAUGAUCAGUCAGCUCUUGGAAAGCUGAGGCACCAUUUCUAAAUUGUUUAGCAUCCACGAAUUUGGCGAUCGUGAUAUUUCUUGCCUAGGUGACCUGCUCCCAGUCAUUCUUCCCUCCCCUAUGAUCUCUCUCUAUGAAGUUUCAAAUUUGUUUUGGUCAAAUUUGAUAUGAAUCUUUGGUAAAACAAUCAACAGAAAUCUGACAAUAUUGCUGACAAGAACGAACAAAUUUCAUUUGCCUGCUGCUCGAUUUUGGUGUUCCUCUGGAUAGCCUGCUUUCCUGGCUUGUUUCCGCUUCUUAGCUCUGGUUGGACGAUUUGCUGUGUUCCUGCAUUUCUUUGCUGCUGCUCAAGAUGUGAUUGUAAAUGGCAUUAAGAAUUAAUAGAUCCGACUCGAGGAGGGCAUGGUUGAUGUAUGCAACCAUGGGAGUGUCAGCUUAGUCUGGUCGCCAUCACCAGAGUGAUGUGAAACAAGGUGUUCAGGGAACUCUUUUGAAAGACAUGUGUUUACAGAACACAUGUUUCAUCGUCUUUAUUUUUUUCACCAGUUAUUGAACAGAUCUUAUGAAGCUUGAUUGAUAGUGUUUCAACUCAGAUGAAGUGGUCUGGACGAUCAGGUUUUGCAGAUCCUGGAGAUCGUUAUACCUUUUGUACAAUGCACUGUUCUGGAUUCAAAUUGACUGAGAGUGUUGCAUCCCUUUGUAUUGUGUUGCUGAACCUCACUAAGUUUCUCAAUGUCCAAGUCUUUUUGUUCUUAGAAAAACUCUUUUGUUGCAUCCACAUUAACCAUAUGUAUUUACA
Long non-coding RNA from Triticum dicoccoides, 3912 nucleotides. RefSeq lists it as uncharacterized. The record is from RefSeq and is a predicted model, not a curated record. The transcript has 12 exons. NCBI's taxonomy places the organism in Eukaryota, Viridiplantae, Streptophyta, Magnoliopsida, Poales, Poaceae.